UAUAAUUUAAUCUAUGAAAUCGUCUUAUUAUUAUUUAUAUGGUAUUUUCGAAAUAAGGAGGUCACUGUUAAUUCUCCGUUUAUUUCAGGCGGCGUUCAUUUAUAAUAUAUAUUUUUUAACACACACUAGGUUUAGGGUUUCUGAACGUCGGCUCGUUUCUAUAAAUCCCCUGUUUCCGCCGCUAUCAUUCGUCUGGCAUCCUCUCUUCACAAUUUCAACUUCUUUCCGGAGUAUCUUAGUCAUUGCUUAUAGAAAUGUAUUUUUCUGCCAUAAAUCCUCUUUUCGAAUUUUGAUAUAAGAUAUGCUAUGAUGAUAUCUUUACUGUGUACCGUAGACUGAUCUCUAUUGGAUCCGUCGGUGACGGUAACACAUCCCUCUAAGAAGUUCUGAGCUGACCAUGUUUACCUUAAUUUCAUGUUUUAUUAUACUUUGGUUUUGAUUUUGAUACGAGAUCAAGUUUUCCUGCUUUCAUUACAAAAUAAAAAAUAAAAAAUUUGCUUGCUGUAUUUUCAAUGUCAUGUUUUCUUGCGUUUGAUUGGAGGGGAAAAGCGAGGUGACGAUAGAAAUUCAUGUCUGUCAAUCCACUGAACUACGGUGUGAUGUUACUCUGAAUCCCGACAGGUUCCGAUCGCUUUAUUUUAUCCCUCUCAAUCCCACAAUAAAUGUUGAAAGAAUUUGGUCUGUAUUGCGAUGGUCGAUAGUAAAGUCAAUGUUUCUUUAGGCUUGAUGAUAAUAUGCAUUUUUUAUGGUUAUUAUUUGGUGGGCAAGUGAUGAAUCUCAUUUUAUUAAUGGGUAAUUUGCGUCUGAAACUUGCAUUGAUGCUAUAUCACCUUGGAGAACUGAUGCUCACAUGGUACUUUCAUAUUUUGAGUUUGAUUAAACGUAUUCACUUGUGUGCUAUGGAUGAAUGACUUAAUUUCUUACCGAUUAUGUAUGAUUGUUAUAACACAACGGUAUUGGAUAUAUAAGCUAUGCUAUUUGCUUCGAUAAACUCUCCAAUAUUUGUUAAUCGGUUUAAUAUAUUUGGAUCAGAGACUUGUUCUGUAUGUACCAAUUAGCUGUUUCAAGACUAGGGAUGCUCAUUUUUGUGGGAGUCCUUGAUAUAUGAGAGCUACUACUUUGAAGGAUCUGCAGUCUUUACAGGUCUGUUUGAUGCGGCUUCUUGGAGCCAUGCGGUACAAUUUCAAUGAAGCUUCAUGUGGUUCAAUAAGUUCUGACCGUGAAGUUUGCUGGAUAUAACCAGUCUUAUAAAGCCCUAAUUUGCCAUGCUCUUGUAAAUAGCUUUUUCUGUUAAAUGGAUCAGAUUGUAGGCUAAAUUUGGAGGUGCUUGAAUUACAACUCAAAAAGGUCUUCCGGAAUAGAUUAGGUAUCAUUGAUUUACCUGAUCGAAUUGGGAACGUAGAUCAGAUUUUGGUAUGUAUUUCCUAUAGGGAAUGGUUGUGCGAUAAUUCAACAGAUUGACCUGUUAAGGGUUGGGGACUUUGUGUCAUAUUACGGGCAUAUAAUGCUAGUAGGUCAGCAUGGCUUGACCUUUGAGCAUGGUGAGUUGCGUUGGAGCUUGUCCAAUUAGGUUCACUGUCAUGUUUACCUCUACCAUUCUCUGAAAUUGGCAAAUAAGAGAUGUUAAUUUUCUCAA
Molecule: long non-coding RNA, 1636 nt
Organism: Mangifera indica (mango)
Lineage: Eukaryota; Viridiplantae; Streptophyta; Magnoliopsida; Sapindales; Anacardiaceae
Exons: 2
Source: RefSeq, a predicted model, not a curated record